This 3891-nucleotide ribosomal RNA is filed under the name Triticum aestivum (bread wheat). Its description in RNAcentral is "partial small subunit ribosomal RNA". Lineage: Eukaryota; Viridiplantae; Streptophyta; Magnoliopsida; Poales; Poaceae. The record is from RNAcentral.
AUGACCGGAAUUGCUGACCACACUCUGCUCACAGGAGAGUACACUACUUGGCUGCCAGAGUUUAUGGCACUCUCUACCAUGCUGCUACUCACCAGGUUUAGAAGCAAUCAGAAGCAACUAAGGCAGCGGUCAGAUCGGUUCGGCGGCGGCGGCAGGCAGGCAUCGUGCAAUGUUCUAAAUCAAGUCGGUCUCAGCGAGAUCAAUUGCGAUGGACGGAACGCAGCGCAAGGCAGGCCAGUGGGCCCAGGGCAAGCAGCAGCUGUUGUUGUGAGGCGAUCGGAUAGAUCGGGCGGCGGCAGCAUCAUAGCAGGACUGCAGAAGACUUCAACGAUUUGGGCAAGGCGUCGUGUGCACAUGGCGGCGACGCGUAUCGACGUGGAAGCCAAACUGACGAAGAGGGCAAACCUAUGCUCUGAUCAAAAGCCACAGAACGUCAAAUACUUGAAAUCGAGUCUCUGUUUCUCAAGCUGCUCCUCCUGUCCACUGUCAAGGCAGUGGUUACAGAACUUCACCCGAUGGGUUAGAUUGGUUUGUCUGCCGCUGCUUUUGUUUCUUGAUCUUGAUAGAGAAUUUCAUCAUGAAGAUUCCUGUACAGAUUGCUCAGAUUGGAAAAAUAGAAGAGGAUUGCAGAGGGCAAUCGCAGAGGAACUGGAGCUUGAAAGCUCAAUAAUGGCUAUUCUGGAUAACCAGGAUGAACAAGAUGAUUUUGAUGGAUCUGAUGAGAGAUCUAGGAAUGAGAUAACAAGUGUGUCAAGAGAGAUCAACAAUAUUCUGAAAAACAGCAGAUUUGUGUUGAUUUUUCAUAACGGUAGUGACAACGAGAUUGUUGACCUAUUCAACUUUGGUGUUCCUCCGAUUACAAGUUUUGGUGACAAUGUGAUGAUAUGGGCCUACAGAAGGAGGAUGUUGACAAUAAAAAAGUACGAAGAAGAUGAACUACUACAUGAACUGAGUGUUUCCAAGAAUAAUUCUAAUUGGGUUGAUGUUGCUUCCAAUUAUUGGAUAUGUGAUGGAAUACUAGAAAAAGAUAUAACAUUGGAGACAAGUGCUGCAUUGCACCGAGAAAUAACCUGGAAAUGUGAUGAUAAUGUGCUCACAAAGUUCAAGGCACAUUUCAAGCUUUCUUUCCUCAUAGUGAAGGAAGAUGAUGUGUAUGAAGAUGGAUCAUACCGUUGGAUUUCAGUCACAUCGAGGGAUAGGGAAAUGCUUGUUUUGCAUCACCUCCUUUUCCUAAAAUGCCAUAACCUAAGAUUCAUUGGACUAGACCACUGUACAGAUGACAAAACAGGGGAAGGAGAGGAUCAUACUGAGUGGGUUUGUCUGCAUAGUUUGUGGGUAUUGGACCUAUGUUACACCCACUGGAAUGAAAUCUUAUCACCGGCAAAGAUGGAUCUCAUGCAUAACCUCAUGGAGCUAAGCAUAGAGGGGGUCUUGUGUUGGCAGUACACAACUUGCUUACAAGGGCGACUACGUAAUCUUCACAGGCUCAGGAUAAUCAAGCCUACACAUGGACCAGAUAUUUCAACAGACGCAAGCAACUCCUUCAUGGACAAGAUAAAGCUGGAAAUACUUGAUCUGUCUGGCAACAAUGAGAUGGAAAUUCUACCAAACAACCUGUCUAAGGCAAGUGGCCUUCAAGUGCUUAUUCUGGAUGGAUGCAAUGUUCUUAAAAAUGUCCUUGUGCCUGUUAGACUGCCGCUGGAUGCCGCCUCCCUUCAGGCGCCGAUCGGGACACGGAGCGUCGGCUCCCUCUUCGUGCUCCCGCCGGCUGCUACUUCGCCCGGGCAGGCGCUUGUGGCCCACACCGCCGCCGCCCCGUCAACCGCGGUUGUCGCGCCCUCGGCCACUGCGCCGCUGGCAGGCUUCGCGGCGUCAACCGCGGCCAUCGCGCCCUCUGUCACCGCGCCGGCUGCCCCUCUGACUGUCUCCACGGUGAGGGUUGUGCUGGUUCCCCCCAAAGCCUAUUGUCUUACAGUGCCUGAUGGGCUACCCCAGUUGCUGAAGUCCUUUAGCUUUGAUGGAUAUGGACCAGCUUUCCACCGGGCAAUUGCUGAGCUACCUCCCAAACAAGAACGCCCGUCGACCCCAGCAGCUAAGGAGGGUGCUAGUAUCUCUAAUAUUUCCCUAAAAGGUUGCUCAAAAUUGGCAAAUAUGUUUUUGCGUGGGUUGCCCAAACUUGUUGAGCUUGACCUCUCUGGAACUGCAAUUAGGACACUUGAUUUCAGUACUAUGGUGGUAGAAGUUCCAAUGCUGAAGCGAUUAUUUAUGCUAGGAUGUGAGCACCUUCGUGCAAUCAUUUGGGGCAACAUUACUGAUAGCUUCAAGUUGGAAUUGUUAUGCAUAGAUACGCGAGCUGGAACUGGCAGUGCUCGGCCAUGCAUUGACCGGAACAAUUUCUAUCAGUUGGAGGUGUAUGUUAUUCUGGUGGAUAAGAGGCUUGCUCGGUCGUUGUGGAAACUACUAUAUAAUCAUUAUGCAGCUGAGAAUGUUUAUCUUAAUAUCCAUGUCACCUCAGCUGUGUAUAGUGGGCCAAUUCAAUCCAAAGUGACAUACAAGGAGAAGAAGAUUGGCAUGUAUGGAGAUCAAGUCAGCCUGCCGCAGCUUGUUCAAGCAGACCGGUACAAUUAUGUCCAAAGCAUGGUUGGUGAUGCCCUGGUGCAGGACUUCCCUAAGCCUCCCACUAACAACCUGGAUCGGCAUAUCGAGAUUACUGAAGGGUGGCACGUCAUGGACAGUGGACUGGGAGAUGUCAUGAAGGGGUUUGCCGAAUCCCUGCAUGCCCAUGAUGUCUCAACAAGUGCCCCAAGUUGGACAACCAUCCACCUGCACGACCUGCCAGUGCUGCAGCAGAUCUGCGAGGUGGAGAUGGUGGCACCAAAGCUCAAUACCAUCAAGAUCAGAGGAUGCUGGGGCCUGCGCCGGCUGCCGGUGGUGGGUGCCCGCAGCGGAGACAUGAAGAAGCCGACCGUCGAGAUUGAGAAAGACGUCUGGGGCGCUCUGGACUGGGACGAGGAGGUGGCCCCUGGCCACUUUGAGGCACCGCUGCACUCACGCUACUACAAGAAGAAACUACCCAGGGUGAUCCUUGCGCUGUGCUGCACUGAUGUGGUUCUUCCAUCCUUAAUGGGAGACCAGAUGGACGCUCGCUCCUGCAGGUCCUGCUGUCUGCUGCAUGUUUGGUUUAUUGUGUGCUUCCCGGGUUGCUUGAAAGAGAUUUGCUGGUGGUGUCGGUCAUCGGUUGAUCGGCUCCUACUGCUACUGUGUGUUGUUGUGUCAGGUGUGAGCUUGUGGUGGCGCUCACCUUUGUGGCUUUCAAAUAAGAAGCAGCAUGGUUCUUGGCUGCUUGCACUGACGUGUGUGCGCGCGGAAGUAUGGCUUGCGAUUGAGGAUGCCUGCUUACUGCCUCUUGGCUGCAUGACUACGGGGCUGCCUGGUGUGGUUUGCGAGUGUGUUAAUCUGAACACAGAAGCAGCUGGUUCAGUGCAUUGGCUUGCGUUGGACCUGCUAUUAUCCGUGUGCCUGUUAUGCUUGUGGAAUAAACAGAUUGUGAUACUAGGAGAACGGAUUUCAGUUUGUGCUUCUAUUAUGCUUGGUAUCGAUGAAUUGUAUAUUGUCGUAUGCAAAACCGCCCGGAAGACCGGAGUCAUUUACAUGAAGGUGAUGCACGCGGUGGUGACAAAACUUCAUCCGAUGGUCACGGCACGUCAAAUAGUUCAAAUCGAGUCUCUGUUUCUCAAGCUGCUCCUCCUGUCUGCUGUCAAGACAUCAAUCUUGACCUUGCACCCUGUUCUAGCUAAAAUUGCACGGGGUAUUACUGGCAGUGGUUACAGAACUUCACCCGAUGGGUUAGAUUGGUUCAUCUGCUGCUGCUUUUCUUCUUGGUCUUGGUAG